Molecule: ribosomal RNA, 254 nt
Filed under: uncultured bacterium
Lineage: Bacteria
Description: partial 16S ribosomal RNA
Rfam family: Bacterial small subunit ribosomal RNA
Source: RNAcentral
UACGGGGGGAGCAAGCGUUGUUCGGAUUUACUGGGCGUAAAGGGCGCGUAGGCGGCCAGCACAAGUCAGUUGUGAAAUCUCCGAGCUUAACUCGGAACGGUCAACUGAUACUGUGCGGCUAGAGUGCGGAAGGGGCAACUGGAAUUCUUGGUGUAGCGGUGAAAUGCGUAGAUAUCAAGAGGAACACCUGCGGCGAAGGCGGGUUGCUGGGCCGACACUGACGCUGAGACACGAAAGCGUGGGUAGCAAACAGG